AUGGACUGGUACGCGUGGCUGGCGAAGGCGGGGCUGACGCCGGCGGCGACGUACGAGUACGGGCUGCUCUUCAGCGAGAACGAGCUGGAGCCGGGCGACGCGCCGGACUUCGACCACGACCUGCUCAAGAGCAUGGGCAUCGCCGUCGCCAAGCACCGCCUCGAGAUCCUCAAGCUCGCCAGGAAGGACGCCGCCGCCGCCGCCGCCGCGUCCCACUCCUCCUCCUCCGCGGCCGCCCGGCUCGCGCGCAGGGCCGGCAGGUGCAUCGUGCGGUGCGCGCGCCGGCUGGGCGGCGGGGGCGCCGGCGGGAGGCGGUACUCCUCGUCCUCGGUCACCGUGGUGCCGAGGAUCUGCAACGGCGCGGCGGGGGACGUCGUGGUCCGCGCCGGCGCCGUGCGGCGGAGGAGCAGCGUCAAGAAGAUGGUGCUCAUGAUCACCGACGGCGGCGUCGGCGCCGGCGCCGGCGUCCGGUUCUCCGGGUCGCAGAAGGCCAGCCUCAUGUUCCAGGACUGCGCGUACGAGGACGAGGAGGAGGACGGGGAGCGGUGCUCCGACGGCGGCACGGCCGGCGGCGAGAGCGAGAUCAAGUGGGACUCCAUGUUCCAGGACCUCAAGCCGACGUGA
Molecule: ribosomal RNA, 624 nt
Filed under: Triticum aestivum (bread wheat)
Lineage: Eukaryota; Viridiplantae; Streptophyta; Magnoliopsida; Poales; Poaceae
Description: partial small subunit ribosomal RNA
Source: RNAcentral